AUUCCAGCUCCAAUAGCGUAUAUUAAAGUUGUUGCAGUUAAAACGCUCGUAGUCGGAUUUCGGGGCGGGCCGACCGGUCUGCCGAUGGGUAUGCACUGGCCGGCGCGUCCUUCCACCCGGAGACCGCGCCUACUCUUAACUGAGCGGGCGCGGGAGACGGGUCUUUUACUUUGAAAAAAUCAGAGUGUUUCAAGCAGGCAGUCGCUCUUGCAUGGAUUAGCAUGGGAUAAUGAAAUAGGACUCUGGUGCUAUUUUGUUGGCUUCGAACACCGGAGUAAUGAUUAAUAGGGACAGUCGGGGGCAUUUGUAUUCAAACGACAGAGGUGAAAUUCUUGGACCGUUUGAAGACAAACUACUGCGAAAGCAUUUGCCAAGAAUGUUUUCAUUA
RNAcentral lists this ribosomal RNA (388 nucleotides) under Gephyrocapsa cf. muellerae. Its description in RNAcentral is "partial small subunit ribosomal RNA". It matches the Rfam family "Eukaryotic small subunit ribosomal RNA", at positions 582 to 975 of the family's 1831-position model. The record is from RNAcentral. Lineage: Eukaryota; Haptophyta; Isochrysidales; Noelaerhabdaceae.